This 5932-nucleotide long non-coding RNA is filed under the name Canis lupus familiaris (dog). RNAcentral describes it as "lncRNA (ENSCAFG00000055362.1)". The record is from RNAcentral. Lineage: Eukaryota; Metazoa; Chordata; Mammalia; Carnivora; Canidae.
UUUUUUGUUGUUAUCUGAUUGCUGAGGCUAGGACUUCUAGUACUAUGUUGAAUAGUAGUGGUGAGAGUGGAUAUCCCUGUCAUGUUUCUGAUCUUAGGGGAAAGGCUCUCAGUUUUUCCCCAUUGAGAAUCAUAUUUGCUGUUAUAACCAUUAUUUUGUAUGAUUUUCACUAAACCCUUCCCUAUCCCAUACUCAUGCAUUAGUUAGUAAAUAAGAUUUUUUGUUGUUGUUUUAUUUUAUACAUAAGAAACUAGAGCUCAAAAUGCAUACUUGGCUUUUUCAAAGUUACGCAUUUGAGGGGAUGGAGUCCAAACUUGCAUUUGAAAUUUCUUUUCCUCAAUCGAAGUCCAUCCUCUUAGAUCAUCUAUUUUUUCCAACAUCAUCUAUCAUCUAUAUUUACAAUCUACUGUGGGAAAAUGACUUAAAUAGAGUUGCUAUAAUGGGCAUAAUGAAUAUGUACAUUAAGAGAGGUUCAAAGUGGAGUCUUACCUAGCUAAAAUGAACAGAGAUUCACAGCCAAAAUACUGCAUUGGAUAAAGGCUUUGGUGUGGAGUCAGGUAGACUGGGAUUCGAUCUUAGCUCCUUCACCUACUAGGUAUUUAUACUUAAGCAAGUUUCUUAACUACUCUGAAUCUUGGUUUCCUCAUCAAAAAAAGUGUUAAUAAUAGAUACAACCUGCAGGAAGUUUGCAAGAAUAAAAUUCUAGCAUGUAGUGAAACAUUUAUGACACUGUUGGGCACAAGAACAUUCCUAGUAUUUUUUUCAGCCAUAAUUGUCAUAUUAUGAUUAUACUGGAAAGUGAUAUGGAAAGAAUGGCCAGGAAAUAGCCUUUAAAUGUGCCAGGAAAGCAAACAGAAUUUGUACAUCACCAUCAUCCUCAUCAUCAUCAUCAUCAUCAUCAUCAUAUCUAGCAUUCAUUAAGUGCAAAUUGUGAGCAUUUUAAUAAAUUAUCCUAAUUGAUCCUCACAAUUAUUUGAUUUACAGCAAAAAGUAUGUUAUUUUCCUGAUUUCAUAGGUUAGAAAAUUGAAGAAUGAAAAUAGUAAGUAAUUUUCCUAAGGACUGUGGCAAGAAAAUAAUUGGUUUACCUGGAAAAUAAGGGGCAAUACAUGCUGUUGAUCUUUCCAAUAAUAUUUUCAUCUUAACUAGACAUUUUGAAUAAGAUAAGGUCUUAAUCCAAAGAAGUUAUUAAUGAUGAUUUUUGUGGCUCUUAAAGAUGAGGGUGAGAAAUAUGAAGGUGGUCAUGAAGAGUAUCCCUAAAAUGUUCAUCCUUUUAUUCGUUCAUUUGACACAUUGUUUAACUGCCUAUUUUGUACAGGUUUCAUGUUUUCUACCUGGCUUAGAGUAUUAAACCCUCUUUUCUCCUCCUAUUUAUCUUAAAUAGUUUCAAGUGUAAAUAAAUAUUACAAAAGUAGUACAGUGAACAACCACAUUCUUUUCACUUAGACUCAACCAUUGUUUUUGCUACAUUUGUUUUUACUGUAUAUGUAAGUACAUUUGUGUGUGUGUGUGUGUACAUUCAUACACAUUUGUACAUACAUACAUCACUUUUUUGGCCCACCAUUUUAGAGUUAAUACCUGACAUUAAGAAACUUUGCCUCCAAAUACUUCAGCAUAUAUUUCCAUAGAACAAGGAGGCUCUGUAUAACCACAAUACAGUGAUCAUAUUCAGAAAAUUUAACAUUAAUACACUUUCAUUAAUUAAUGUACCUUCAAUAUUUAAAUUUAUCUAAUUUUCUCAAUAAUGUAAUUUAUAGCUUUUCUCUCUCUUUUUAAUUUAUUUAUUCAUGAGACACACAGAGAGAGGCAGAGACAUAGGCACAGCGAGAAGCCAGCUCCUGUGGGGAGCCUGAUGUGGGGAGACUCAAUCCCAGGACCCCAGGAUCAUGACCUGAGCCAAAGGCAGAAGCUCAACCACUGAGCCACCCAGAUGCCCCUAUAGCUUUUUUCCUAAUGCAAGCUUCAAUCACAAAUCACAGUGGAUUUGGUCAUCAUGUCAGUAUUCUCCUUCAAUGUUAAAGUUCAUCGAACUUUUUUGUUUUUUAACUUUUAGACUCCAUUUAUUUUGCAGAAUAUACCUCUAUAUGACUUGCUUAUUUUGCCAUGAUUAGAUUCAGGUUAAGCAUUUUUUCCUGAACAUUACAUAAGUAAUAUCUGUCCUCAGUGCAUCACACUGGGAAGCUCAUGAUGCCAACUUGUUCAAUCUCUUUAUCUCUAAGAAAGAGCUUGAAAUUCUGAAGGGAACAAUACAACCCCAAUUCCUGGCACUGUCUCUACUUGCAACACACAUUUCAAAGUCCUGUAUUAGAAAUCUGAAAGUAACUGUAAUGAUGGUGCCACUGCAUUCAUUCAACUGAAAUUCAUUAUGUACAUUCAAUCAUUCAUUUGUGAAUGGAUGGCUCCUUUAUGAAAUGGUGAAAAUCAUUUUUCAUAAAUUAAGGACUUUUACAUGCAAGACUGGAGUUUAUAACUGUAUGGGAGUUUUGACUUAUUACUCAAUUAUAGUAUUCCCAAAGUAGAUUUGGGUGGGGGGAUAGCUUUGAAAAUUAAAAACACUAAGUUUAGAAUGAAUAAGAGGAAAUAUCACUUUCUACAUCAGCUACAAUCUUAUAAAAUAUAUUACUUUAAUUGAGUUAUUAUAGACCAACUUCUUGGCUGAGUUGACUUAUUUUAAAAUGAAAAAGAUGACUAGAUGAUUUGUAAGUUCUCUUCUCUUUCAACAUUCAGUUUCUGGCUAAAUUUGUUAACAUUUUAAGUUGUGAUUUAGGUAAAUUCACUGACGACAGAUUUGUAAGGGGUUAUUAAGGGUAACUGGGAUGUUUGGAAAUUUCCCCAAUGUCUUAAUUAGACAUUAUAAAAGAAUCACCACAGCAAUCUCAAUGGUACCACUUACUUUGACCUGCUUCUGUUCACUUCAUAAUCUAUUGUGGAUUAUUAUGGCUUUCCAGCACCUGACUCAUUUCCCAUAUCUGACUACACUUUAUCCUUCUUUUUACUCUUUUGCCAACUUAUUCUUUGGCUUUUGAUCCCUACCAUAUUUCAAAUUUACUCUUUAAUUUGCUGCUAUUGGCUGAUGUAGUUAAAUGUUUCACCUAAUUAGCCUGGUCCAGGGUCAUACAGAACCUCAUAAAUGGGGAUGUUGGUAGUGGCGCUUAGCUAUAAGGUGGGCCCCAGACAAGAAGACCAGUUAAACAGAGAUGCAGACAUGUUGACCUUUUCAGUUCUAGCAUCACAUUCUAUGUGAUUCACUUCCACUUCGUAGUAGAUCUGUGGGAAAACUGAAAGCAGAAGUAAUGUAAAAUGUUGGUUUUACAUGAAAAUCAUUUUUAUGAAAAAAAGGAGAUUGAUAAUUUUAAGUUAUACUGGAUUUGAAAACAGGAUGUAGAGAUCCUUUUGCUGAAUGUGUUUAACUGAUAAGAUAUAUUCGUUCACUUACUCAUUUGUGAUAUUAUAAUAAUAAAGAGAACAGAUUCUGAAUAUGGACUGCCACUUACCACCAGGGUAAGUCAUUUGACCUCUAUGUGUCUCAGUUUCAUUAUCUACAAAAAUGGGAAUAACAACGGCAGCUACCAAAGGAUUGAUGAGAAUUAAUCAGUUAAUGUAUAUGAAAACCUAUAGAACACUAUUUGGCACAUAGCAAGUGCCACAUAUAUAUUAACUAUUAUUACCAAUCUAUAGUCUUUGGUCUCCUAUUAUAUGUCUAACAUAAUAUAAAGAAUCCCAUACACAUUCUUGGAGUCAAAGAAUAAUUCAAAGUAAUAUUUGACAUCUAACAGCAGAGGAGAUGAGGGGUUUGAGGUUUACCCAUGGGAUUUCUUCCUAUUAUCAUCAUCAUUGUCAUAGUGACUACAUUUAUUGAGUGUUUGUGCCUGGCACUCUUAGGUGUCUUUCAUACUUUUUCUUAUUUUGGUUUUUACUUUUACAGAAAGGUUAACUCUCUGCUAAAGGCCAUAUAGCUUGAAAAUGGUAGAUUCAAGAUCAAACUGAAGCAGCCUGACUCUAAUAUUCCAUGAUAUUAAUAACACUGGACAUCUAUAAACUAUAUCGAGACAUGGCACGAAGUGCCUUCAUUCAAUACACACACACAUGUACUGAGAACACAGUACAUACGCGGUGGACAGAGACAAAUCAGACCCCUGUCGUCAGAUAACUCCUGCUAUCAAAGAGAUCAGAUUUCAUGUUGAGGAUACAAAAAUGAAAAUGACAAAGUGUAGAGUGUGCUAUGACAGUGAUGUUCCCAGGGCAAGCUCCAGAAAUGGCCUCUCAAUCUGAGGGAAAAUUGAGGAGGCAUGAGAAAUGAAGAGAGGGCUCGGCAGUGUCAAGGAUGGAGAGGCAGCAGGUGAAUAGGUGUGGAACAGGCAUCUGAGGGAGAAAGACAACAUGUGAGAAGAGAUUUGAUGUGUGUGGGGAACUAUGGGACUUUGCGGCUGGAGGAGAUUGAGGGUCUAGGAGAUAUGGAACUAAGAGGAAAACAGGGCAUGACCAGGAAACCUCUGUCUGCUAAUGUGAAGAGCUUAACAUUGAACAAGAAGACUUGGGGAUUGUUUGAAAACAUUUAACCAGGAAGAAAACAGGAUCAAAUUUGCUUAACAAAGAUCAUUGCACAAAAAGUAUUAAGGGUUUUUUUUUUUUAAUCAUGUCUUUAAAUUAAUGGCAUGUUUUAUUGAAAUCUGUCUGUAUUAAGUUCUUCUUGUUUUUGUGGGUUUACACUAAUGAAUUUCAGUAGGUGGUAUUAUUAAUAUUACUCACUAUUCCUACCUACCAGUUUCUUAAUUCCUUAGGUUUAUAGCAUGCUUUCAACUCCAUUAUCUCCCAUAACUGCUAUAACUGCCUUUUAAAAAAAAUGAUUAUUUCCCAUUUGCAGAUGAAGAAACUGAGGCUGAGUGAUGUUAGCUUUCACAGAAUUGCCUACCUCAGAACUACAACCCUGGGAAUAAAUCUGAGCAAGGAAGCCUCAAACGGAUGCCACGUGAUUACCCUCUUUGGCUCUGCGGUGGACUGCAAGGGACCUCCACCCUUGAAAUACCCAUGCAAUUCGGACAUCCCACUAUAGCACCAGGGUCAGUUCCAACCCAGCUACUUAGGACAGCGGUUCUGCUCUAACAAACUGUUAUAAACUGGGUGGUUUAAACAUUCAUGCCUCAUAGUUCUGGAGGCUGGGAGGUUCAAUAUCAAGGUGCUGGCAGAUUUAGGGUUUGGUGAAAGGCCUGCUUCCUGGUUCACAAGUAGCCAUCUUCUCCUGUGUCCAAACACGGAGGAAGGGGUGAGGGAUAUCUUAAGAGCCCCGUUUCUAAGGACACUAAUUCCAUUCACAAGGGCUCCAUGCACAUAACCUAGUCACCCUCCCAAAGGCCCUACCUUCAAAUAUCACCACACUGGGGAUUUCAAUAUAUAAAAUUGGAGGACACAGGACACAGGCAUCCAGUCCAUAACACUACCCAAUGACCAUUUUCUGUCUUCCUGGAUAGCAAACCUUAUCUGUCUCCUGGCAGCAGUUGUGGCCAAUGACAUGUAGACAGAAUCCUUCUGGUGACCCUUUGGAAAAGAUUUUUCUCUGAAGAGAGAGUAGUAUGAGCUAAUGGUCCCUUUGUUUCCUCCCUAUCUUGUAUGCUCUUGUGUGGCAAUGUCAUAUUUGAAGGCAGGUAGGAUCUUAUGAGCAAUAAGGGAUCUUUUUAAAUUUUGUUUAGAUUCUAUUUAUUUAUUUGACUGAGAGAGAGAGAGAGAGAGAAUGAGAGAGAGAAAGAGAACACAAGAAGCAGGGGGAACAGGAAAGAGAGAAGCCCCAACUUGGGGCUCGGUCCCAGGACCCUGAGAUCAUGACCUGAGUGUAAGACAGAUGCUUGACUGACUAAGCCACCCACGCAACCCAAAAAGAGAUCUUUUGAGAACAAAAAAACCCAACAUACUGAAGAUGGUGUAAGGGGAGGAUGCAGG